GGCUCAGUGGUGGAUGGUCCAUACCUGUGUUGUGUUGUGCUCAUCAGCUCUGGGUAUUAAAGCAGGAGAAGCCUGUUCGAAUCAGGCCCGAGCCA
Non-coding RNA from Mycena metata, 95 nucleotides. The record is from the annotation of a GenBank genome assembly. Lineage: Eukaryota; Fungi; Basidiomycota; Agaricomycetes; Agaricales; Mycenaceae.